Ruditapes philippinarum (Manila clam) is the source of this 1007-nucleotide long non-coding RNA. RefSeq lists it as uncharacterized. NCBI's taxonomy places the organism in Eukaryota, Metazoa, Mollusca, Bivalvia, Venerida, Veneridae. The transcript has 2 exons. The record is from RefSeq and is a predicted model, not a curated record.
AUAGAUGAUAAGAUUGUGAAUAACCAAUCAAAUUUGAGUUUAAGUUCCGAUUGUGUUGAUAUCUUUAAAUACAUGAAACGGUAAACAUAUGAAUGUAUAUUACGUGAAAUGUAGGUCGUAUUGUGACUCAAUACUUUGCUAUAGUUAUCAGAGUUUUCUUGGCUACGAAUCAGGAGUAAACUGCGCAGUCAAGGCCUCCCUCCAUCACACUCAGAUUAAUUUGCUGCUUAAUUUACUAAGUCAAAGCGUCCCCAUUGUAUCACUAUACACUUUACAAUUAAAAAGAAAACAACUAAGUAAAGAAAUAAUGAAAUAAAAAAAUAGGGAAUCUUUGAAAAAAGCUCCUUAAUGGGGAAUAUUGAAGGUCAAACAAGUUUGUAAAAUUGGUUGGGUAGAGAAACACUUUUAAAUACAUAUUGUUUCAGACAUGGAUUUUCAUAUUUUCUGAAAAUAAAAACACGAAAUUAACUUAUAAGUCACGUGGUACAUCUACUUAUAUACUUGAUAUCAUGUUUUAUCAGUUCAAUGAAAUGAAACUACGCAAUUAAUUUGAUAUAGAUCGUUUAUAUAGAUAUACAUGUGUUGGUAGCAAUAUAUAAUAAAUACAUACACAACGAAAGGACUUUAAAAUACUAUAAGAGUAACAAAACUAGGCUAGUGCUUUGUCUAACCAAGAGAAAAAUGAAGAUUAUAUGCUUUCCAUGUGGAAAAAAGACGGAUACAACGAACGAGACUCUGAUAAAGCUAGCGAACGGAAAAACCAGUAUUCAGGGGACCUGUGCAAAAUGCGGCAAAAGAAAGUCUAAAAUUGUUGGCUAGGCCAUUCGAGAACUCAAUAAUUAGUGAUGACAAUACUUACUGUUUAAUCAACUUCAUUGAAAUGUUAAAAUUAACUUACAACAUGUACUGAUAAUAAUUUUUGAAAAGAAAUAUUGUGGAAAUAUUUGUUUAAUAUAUUAUAUCUAUCUACUUGAACCCCUUUUUCAAAUUAACAAAAUGAAAUCAUA